AUGUUUAGUAGGGGCAACCCCGUUUCCAGUCACCUGUGCACGGUGCCCUUAGCCAAGAUGGCCCCCCUGACGCCUCCCCCGCCAUGUCUCGGACGGGCACCCCGCCUAGCCUUCCCAACGUUGCGCCCGGUGCCCUCAGCCAAGAUGGCGGCGGAGCCGCGCCGGCAGAGGGCGAGGCGGUGCUGGUGCCGCCAUCUUGGCUGCGGGCACCCCCUACCGCUGAGCUGGCCUUCCCGGGCGCGCGGGGAGUGCCGGGAGCAGACGGCGGCGGUGGCGGCGCGGACAGCUGUGCUGGGCUACGUCCCCCCCUACGGCUGGGAAUCAGUGAAGUCCCCUAUGGCCGUGCAGAAGGUCAGUGGUGCUCCCCAUAGCAGCCUUGGGGUCCCUCAGUGGUGCAGGGGGUCAGCGGUGUCCCUUAGGGGUUUGCUAUCUGAGCCCAUGCUGCUGGGGCUGCUGCGCUUGGCUCUGGAAGUCGCUUGCGAUGUUGCGGAGCGUUUGCGGACUUGGCUGCGUCUGAUGAGCAAGUUUUUCCUCUCGCCUUGUUCUUCCCUUUCUCAGAGCCGUCGAGGGUGGCCAGGGCCGGAGAGCUUUUGUUUUAACCUUGUCCCACUUCUGGCUCUGAAGAAUUUAGUAAGGCAAGGGUGUGGGAAAUGAUGCCAUGUGCAGAGGAUGUCUUAAAUCCCUGAAGACCUCUUUGACCUUUUUGUCCUGUCUCUCUGUAAGGAGGGCAGUCUGGCUGUAUAGUGCUAUUUGCGAAGAGUGUUUUGGUCUCAAACUUGGCCUCCUGUGCUCCCCCCAGGGUUUUUGCCAAAGGCUUCAAGGAUGUAUUGCAAAUGUGUCCAGUUUUCCUUUAGUGAUCUCCGCUGAGCAGGAUUGUCUUGAGGCCUGAGGCUGGGUGGGCACUGGGAUGUUAAAUAUGAUGUCUGCACAAUAAAAAAACUUGCAUUCUGGCUUCGUGUGUCA
Molecule: long non-coding RNA, 963 nt
Filed under: Apteryx owenii (little spotted kiwi)
Lineage: Eukaryota; Metazoa; Chordata; Aves; Apterygiformes; Apterygidae
Description: lncRNA (ENSAOWG00000010520.1)
Source: RNAcentral